GCCCUCGUAGCUCAGUCGGAUAGAGCAGCCGCCUCCUAAGCGGCAGGUCACAGGUUCGAAUCCUGUCGAGGGCACCA
Molecule: transfer RNA, 77 nt
Filed under: Chromatiaceae bacterium
Lineage: Bacteria; Pseudomonadati; Pseudomonadota; Gammaproteobacteria; Chromatiales; Chromatiaceae
Description: tRNA-Arg
Rfam family: tRNA
About the family: Transfer RNA (tRNA) molecules are approximately 80 nucleotides in length. Their secondary structure includes four short double-helical elements and three loops (D, anti-codon, and T loops). Further hydrogen bonds mediate the characteristic L-shaped molecular structure. tRNAs have two regions of fundamental functional importance: the anti-codon, which is responsible for specific mRNA codon recognition, and the 3' end, to which the tRNAs corresponding amino acid is attached (by aminoacyl-tRNA synthetases). tRNAs cope with the degeneracy of the genetic code in two manners: having more than one tRNA (with a specific anti-codon) for a particular amino acid; and 'wobble' base-pairing, i.e. permitting non-standard base-pairing at the 3rd anti-codon position.
Source: RNAcentral